UACGUAGGGUGCGAGCGUUGUCCGGAAUUAUUGGGCGUAAAGGGCGCGUAGGCGAUUUGAAAAGUCUUGUGUGAAAGCCCCGAGCUUAACUCGGGAAGUGCACAAGAAACUGUUGAAUUUGAGUUCCGGAGAGGAAGGCAGAAUUCCCGGUGUAGCGGUGAAAUGCGUAGAUAUCGGGAGGAAUACCAGUGGCGAAGGCGGCCUUCUGGACGGAUACUGACGCUGAGGCGCGAAAGCCAGGGGAGCAAACGGG
This 253-nucleotide ribosomal RNA is filed under the name uncultured bacterium. RNAcentral's name for it is "partial 16S ribosomal RNA". It matches the Rfam family "Bacterial small subunit ribosomal RNA", at positions 524 to 776 of the family's 1533-position model. The record is from RNAcentral.